RNAcentral lists this ribosomal RNA (484 nucleotides) under uncultured bacterium. RNAcentral's name for it is "partial 16S ribosomal RNA". It matches the Rfam family "Bacterial small subunit ribosomal RNA", at positions 30 to 507 of the family's 1533-position model. The record is from RNAcentral.
AUUGAACGCUGGCGGCAGGCCUAACACAUGCAAGUCGAGCGGAUGAAGGGAGCUUGCUCCUGGAUUCAGCGGCGGACGGGUGAGUAAUGCCUAGGAAUCUGCCUGGUAGUGGGGGAUAACGUCCGGAAACGGGGGCUAAUACCGCAUACGUCCUGAGGGAGAAAGUGGGGGAUCUUCGGACCUCACGCUAUCAGAUGAGCCUAGGUCGGAUUAGCUAGUGGGGGGGGUAAAGGCCUACCAAGGCGGCGAUCCGUAACUGGUCUGAGAGGAUGAUCAGUCACCUGGGAAGUGAGAAACGGCCCAGACUCCUACGGGAGGCAGCAGUGGGGAAUAUUGGACGAGGGGCGAAAGCCUGAUACAGCCAUGCCGCGUGUGUGAAGAAGGUCUUCGGAUUGUAAAGCACUUUAAGUUGGGAGGAAGGGCAGUAAGUUAAUACCUUGCUGUUUUGACGUUACCAACAGAAGAAGCACCGGCUAACUUCGUG